RNAcentral lists this unclassified non-coding RNA (235 nucleotides) under fungal sp. RNAcentral's name for it is "partial internal transcribed spacer region". The stretch from base 1 to 46 matches the Rfam family "Eukaryotic small subunit ribosomal RNA", at positions 1786 to 1831 of the family's 1831-position model. Lineage: Eukaryota; Fungi. The record is from RNAcentral.
AAGUCGUAACAAGGUUUCCGUAGGUGAACCUGCGGAAGGAUCAUUACAGCGUUCCUGCCCCCAUGGGUAGAAACCUCACCCUGUGUUAAAACCUAUCUAUGUUUCCCUGGCGGGCCGCCUCAGGGCGCCGGCCCCGGCCGUCUCGCGCCCGUCGGGGACACCAUAACCCUGUUUGCUAGUCUGUCUGAGUACUAUAUAAUAGUUAAAACUUUCAACAACGGAUCUCUUGGCUCUG